AUGGGGACCGCUCACUGGUCCCUGGUGUUGCUCAGCAAAGCCAGGACACCUGCAGCCCAGUUCCUGGCUGCACUCACAAUGCCCACGUCUGCAGGGAUUUGCACCCCACCCUGCAGGGAUGGGACACCUCCCCUUCUCCCUGAGGGUGGGGACACUGUGACAUGUUCCUCAGUGAGGCUCCCACCGCCGCCGCGGACCGGGGAGCCACCGGCGGCCACCGUAAGUUCCUUCAACUUCAAGCCGUACUGCUCGACCUCCUACAAGCGGCGCUAAGCGGAGACGCCCCGGCUGCACAUCUCCAGCGUGCGCAGGGGCUGCAGCACCGCGCGCUCCGCUUACUCCAGCUACUCUGCGUCGGUUUCUUCCUCGCUGUCCGUGCGCGGCAGCUAUUCGUCCAGCUCCAGCUUGUUGAUGCACAGCCUGGAGAACCUCGAUCUGAGUCAGGUAGCCGCCAACAGCAACGACCUCAAGUCGAUCCGCACGCAGGAGAAGGCGCAGCUCCAGGAUCUCAACGAUCGCUUCGCCAGCUUCAUCGAGCGCGUGCACGAGCUGGAGCAGCAGAACAAGGUCAUGGAAGUGGAGCUGCUGGUGCUGCGCCAGAAGCACUCGGAACCGUCCAGCUUCCAGGCGCUGUACAAGCAGGAGAUCUGCGACUUGCGCCUGGCGGUGGAAGACGCCACCAACGAGAAGCAGGCGCUCCAGGGCGAACGCGAAGGGCUGGAGGAGACCCUGCGCAACCUGCAGGCGCGCUAUGAAGAGGAGGUGCUGAGCCGCUAGGAUGCCGAGGGCUGGCUAAUGGAAGCGAGCAAAAGCGCUGACGAGGCGGCACUUGCCCGCGUGGAGCUCGAAAAGCGCAUCGACAGCCUGAUGGACGAAAUCGCUUUUCUGAAGAAAGUGCACGAAGAUCGCCAAGCUGCAGGCGCAGAUCCAGUACACGCAGAUCUCCGUGGAGAUGGACGUGUCCACCAACCCCGACCUCUCCGCCGCGCUCAAGGACAUCCACGCUCAGUACGAGAAGCUGGCCGCCAAGAACAUGCAGAACGCCGAGGAGUGGUUCAAGAGCCGCUUCACCGUGCUGACCGAGAGCGCCGCCAAGAACACCGACGCCGUGCGCGCCGCCAAGGACAAGGUGUCCGGGAGCCGCCGCCUGCUCAAGGCCAAGACCCUGGAGAUCGAAGCAUGCCAGGGCAUGAACGAAGCGCUGGAGAAGCAGCUGCAGGAGCUGGAGGACAAGCAGAACGCAGACAUCAGCGCUAUAUGCAGGACACGAUCAACAAAUUAGAAAAUGGAUUGAGGACCACAAAGAGUUAAAUGGCACGAUACCUAAAAGAAUACCAAGACCUCCUCAACGUGAAGAUGGCUUUGGAUAUUGAGAUUGCAGCUUACAGGCAACUCUUGGAAGGCUAGGAGACCCGGCUCAGUUUCACCAGCGUGGGAAGCAUAACCAGUGGCUACUCCCAGAGCUCCCAGGUCUUUGGUAGAUAUGCCUAUGGCGGUUUACAGACCAGCUCCUAUCUGAUGUCCACCCGCUCCUGCUCGUCCUACUGCACCAGCCAUGUCCAAGAGGAGCAGAUUGAAGUGGAGGAAACCAUUGAGGCUGCUAAAGCUGAGGAAGUCAAGGAUGAGCCUCCCUCUGAAGGAGAAGCCAAGGAGGAGGAGAAGGACAAGGAAGAGGAGGCAGCCGAAGAGGAAGAAGCUGCCAAGGAAGAGUCUGAAGAAGCAAAGGAAGAAGGAGGCGAAGUUGAAGAAGGAGAGGAAACUAAAGAAGCUGAAGAGUGCUGAGGAGUUGAAGGUGCUGGGGAGGAACAAGCAACUGAGAAGAGAGAUUGAACCCCCAUUUCCUUAAUUAUUUCAGGAACAAUUCUUCCAAAAUCAGGUCAACCCCAUCACCAACCGACCAACCAGUUGAGUUCCAGAUCCUGUGUGAAUGAAAAAGUCAAUAUAUAUGUAUCAUUCUGAGAUGACUUAGGUUGGACGUUCAAUGUUGCGCUGUGAAUUUCCUCUUUAUGCAGUGCCUGUGCUGUGAAUUUCCUCUUCAUGCAGAGUAUCUGUGCUGUGAAUUUCCUCUUCAUGCAGAGUAUCUGUUUGCUUGCAGAGUGGCUUUCUGGCUUGCUGCCAGCCUGUGCAUGGUCUGCGCUUAUGAGUUCAGGAACUGUGGCAAUGUGAAUCAUUCAGAUGUUUACAAUAAAAAACACCACAUGAGUAAAUGAAUUCACUACUGUUAACAUUAAACUUCAUGAAAAAAUAGUCCUUUGAACCUUUCGUGGUUAGCAGUUAAAGAUCUUGAGUUAUGUGCAAUAAAUAGUAAAUAAAGUUGUACAGAAAAAAAAAUGGAGACAUCAUUCAUAGACCAUAACUUCACCCUCAUAAACUAAGAUUCAGUGAUUUCUCAGUAUCCUUCUUUCUUUAAACCUUUGUGUGUUUUCUGAAAAAGUUUUUUAGCAAAAAGCCAGUGUUACUAUUGUAAACAGAAAGUUGUACUAUUCUAAUGAGGAGAAAUAAACCUCUUGCCCCCUUCAUAGGCUGUGGAACCAGGAGGGGCUCAGUGCAGUCUGGCAGCUGUCAUGAUAGCGUGAGAUCUGGGAGGAUAGAGGCCCUCACCUUCCACUGC
This is a non-coding RNA of Callithrix jacchus (white-tufted-ear marmoset), 2611 nucleotides long. NCBI's taxonomy places the organism in Eukaryota, Metazoa, Chordata, Mammalia, Primates, Cebidae. The record is from RefSeq and is a predicted model, not a curated record.